Molecule: small nucleolar RNA, 138 nt
Filed under: Mus pahari (shrew mouse)
Lineage: Eukaryota; Metazoa; Chordata; Mammalia; Rodentia; Muridae
Description: snoRNA (MGP_PahariEiJ_G0034629.1)
Rfam family: Small nucleolar RNA SNORA17
About the family: snoRNA ACA 17 belongs to the H/ACA family of snoRNAs and is predicted to guide pseudouridylation of the 28S rRNA at positions U4659 and U4598.
Source: RNAcentral
CUGGCUCCUUAGAGGCAUUGCAGAUGUGGUUGCUGUGUCACAUGUGUGUCAGUAGGUGGCAGAGGAGAGAGAGGAGAAGAUAUGUCUACGUUUGGCAUUCUAACCUAUGAAUAUCUGAAUGAUUAGCAGCCACAGACU